This 279-nucleotide unclassified non-coding RNA is filed under the name Hevea brasiliensis (rubber tree). The record is from RNAcentral. Lineage: Eukaryota; Viridiplantae; Streptophyta; Magnoliopsida; Malpighiales; Euphorbiaceae.
UCUUGCACACCCAGCAGCAAAGUCAAUGAUUGAAUUGAGCCGCACACAAGAUGAAGAAGUAGGAGAUGGGACAACAUCUGUCAUUGUUCUUGCUGGAGAGAUGCUCCAUGUUGCUGAAGCCUUCAUUGACAAGAAUUAUCAUCCUACGGUCAUUUGUCGAGCCUACAAUAAAGCUUUGGAGGAUGCAAUUGCUGUGCUUGACAAAAUUGCUAUGUCUAUUGAUGUCAACGACCGUGCAGCCAUGUUAGGCCUGGUUAAGAGCUGUAUAGGCACAAAGUU